AGAGUUUGAUCCUGGCUCAGGACGAACGCUGGCGGCGUGCCUAAUACAUGCAAGUCGAACGCUUCUUUCCUCCCGAGUGCUUGCACUCAAUUGGAAAGAGGAGUGGCGGACGGGUGAGUAACACGUGGGUAACCUACCCAUCAGAGGGGGAUAACACUUGGAAACAGGUGCUAAUACCGCAUAACAGUUUAUGCCGCAUGGCAUAAGAGUGAAAGGCGCUUUCGGGUGUCGCUGAUGGAUGGACCCGCGGUGCAUUAGCUAGUUGGUGAGGUAACGGCUCACCAAGGCCACGAUGCAUAGCCGACCUGAGAGGGUGAUCGGCCACACUGGGACUGAGACACGGCCCAGACUCCUACGGGAGGCAGCAGUAGGGAAUCUUCGGCAAUGGACGAAAGUCUGACCGAGCAACGCCGCGUGAGUGAAGAAGGUUUUCGGAUCGUAAAACUCUGUUGUUAGAGAAGAACAAGGACGUUAGUAACUGAACGUCCCCUGACGGUAUCUAACCAGAAAGCCACGGCUAACUACGUGCCAGCAGCCGCGGUAAUACGUAGGUGGCAAGCGUUGUCCGGAUUUAUUGGGCGUAAAGCGAGCGCAGGCGGUUUCUUAAGUCUGAUGUGAAAGCCCCCGGCUCAACCGGGGAGGGUCAUUGGAAACUGGGAGACUUGAGUGCAGAAGAGGAGAGUGGAAUUCCAUGUGUAGCGGUGAAAUGCGUAGAUAUAUGGAGGAACACCAGUGGCGAAGGCGGCUCUCUGGUCUGUAACUGACGCUGAGGCUCGAAAGCGUGGGGAGUAAACAGGAUUAGAUACCCUGGUAGUCCACGCCGUAAACGAUGAGUGCUAAGUGUUGGAGGGUUUCCGCCCUUCAGUGCUGCAGCAAACGCAUUAAGCACUCCGCCUGGGGAGUACGACCGCAAGGUUGAAACUCAAAGGAAUUGACGGGGGCCCGCACAAGCGGUGGAGCAUGUGGUUUAAUUCGAAGCAACGCGAAGAACCUUACCAGGUCUUGACAUCCUUUGACCACUCUAGAGAUAGAGCUUUCCCUUCGGGGACAAAGUGACAGGUGGUGCAUGGUUGUCGUCAGCUCGUGUCGUGAGAUGUUGGGUUAAGUCCCGCAACGAGCGCAACCCUUAUUGUUAGUUGCCAUCAUUUAGUUGGGCACUCUAGCGAGACUGCCGGUGACAAACCGGAGGAAGGUGGGGAUGACGUCAAAUCAUCAUGCCCCUUAUGACCUGGGCUACACACGUGCUACAAUGGGAAGUACAACGAGUCGCUAGACCGCGAGGUCAUGCAAAUCUCUUAAAGCUUCUCUCAGUUCGGAUUGCAGGCUGCAACUCGCCUGCAUGAAGCCGGAAUCGCUAGUAAUCGCGGAUCAGCACGCCGCGGUGAAUACGUUCCCGGGCCUUGUACACACCGCCCGUCACACCACGAGAGUUUGUAACACCCGAAGUCGGUGAGGUAACCUUUUUGGAGCCAGCCGCCUAAGGUGGGAUAGAUGAUUGGGGUGAAGUCGUAACAAGGUAGCCGUAUCGGAAGGUGCGGCUGGAUCACCU
Molecule: ribosomal RNA, 1549 nt
Filed under: Enterococcus faecalis
Lineage: Bacteria; Bacillati; Bacillota; Bacilli; Lactobacillales; Enterococcaceae
Also listed under: 1 other name
Description: bacterial SSU rRNA
Rfam family: Bacterial small subunit ribosomal RNA
Source: RNAcentral